GUUUUAAUAAUUUAAAUAAAAUACUGGUCUUGUAAAUCAGAAAUAAGAAAUACUUUUAAAACU
RNAcentral lists this transfer RNA (63 nucleotides) under Dendroctonus valens (red turpentine beetle). RNAcentral describes it as "tRNA-Thr". The record is from RNAcentral. Lineage: Eukaryota; Metazoa; Arthropoda; Insecta; Coleoptera; Curculionidae.